RNAcentral lists this ribosomal RNA (305 nucleotides) under uncultured bacterium. RNAcentral's name for it is "bacterial SSU rRNA". It matches the Rfam family "Bacterial small subunit ribosomal RNA", at positions 338 to 658 of the family's 1533-position model. The record is from RNAcentral.
CCUACGGGGGGCAGCAGUGGGGAAUAUUGGGCAAUGGACGCAAGUCUGACCCAGCAACGCCGCGUGAAGGAAGAAGGCUUUCGGGUUGUAAACUUCUUUUAAGGGGGAAGAGCAGAAGACGGUACCCCUUGAAUAAGCCACGGCUAACUACGUGCCAGCAGCCGCGGUAAUACGUAGGUGGCAAGCGUUGUCCGGAUUUACUGGGUGUAAAGGGCGUGCAGCCGGAGAGACAAGUCAGAUGUGAAAUCCACGGGCUCAACCCGUGAACUGCAUUUGAAACUGUUUCCCUUGAGUGUCGGAGAGGG